RNAcentral lists this small RNA (127 nucleotides) under Marmota monax (woodchuck). The record is from RNAcentral. Lineage: Eukaryota; Metazoa; Chordata; Mammalia; Rodentia; Sciuridae.
GCCAGGCACAGUGGCACAUACCUGUAAUCCCUGCUACUUGGAAGGCUGAGGCAGGAGGUUUGCAAGUUCAAAGCCAACCUUAGCAACUUAGGGAGGCCUUAAACAACUUUGUGAGACCCUGUCUCAA